GAUGAACGCUGGCGGUCUGCUUAACGCAUGCAAGUCGAACGGAACCCUUCGGGGUUUAGUGGCGGACGGGUGAGUAACGCGUGAGAAUCUGCCUUUUGGACGGGGACAACAGUUGGAAACGACUGCUAAGACCCGAUGUGCCUUGGGGUGAAAUAUUUAUAGCCAAGAGAUGAGCUCGCGUCUGAUUAGCUAGUUGGUGAGGUAACGGCUCACCAAGGCGACGAUCAGUAGCUGGUCUGAGAGGAUGAUCAGCCACACUGGGACUGAGACACGGCCCAGACUCCUACGGGAGGCAGCAGUGGGGAAUUUUCCGCAAUGGGCGCAAGCCUGACGGAGCAAGACCGCGUGGGGGAGGAAGGUCUGUGGAUUGUAAACCCCUUUUGUCAAGGAAGAACACAAUGACGGUACUUGACGAAUCAGCAUCGGCUAACUCCGUGCCAGCAGCCGCGGUAAUACGGAGGAUGCAAGCGUUAUCCGGAUUUAUUGGGCGUAAAGCGUCCGCAGGUGGCUCAUCAAGUCUGCUGUCAAAGCGCGAGGCUUAACUUCGUAACGGCAGUGGAAACUGAUAGGCUUGAGAAUGAUAGGGGCAGAGGGAAUCCCAGUGUAGCGGUGAAAUGCGUAGAGAUUGGGAGAACACCGGUGGCGAAAGCGCUCUGCUGGGUCAUAUCUGACACUGAGGGACGAAAGCUAGGGGAGCGAAAGGGAUUAGAUACCCCUGUAGUCCUAGCCGUAAACGAUGGACACUAGGCGUUGACCG
Molecule: ribosomal RNA, 757 nt
Filed under: uncultured cyanobacterium
Lineage: Bacteria; Bacillati; Cyanobacteriota
Description: bacterial SSU rRNA
Rfam family: Bacterial small subunit ribosomal RNA
Source: RNAcentral